UCCUGGAAACGGGUGGUAAUGCCGGAUGUUCCACAUGAGCGCAUGCGAGUGUGGGAAAGGCUUUUGCGGCAUGGGAUGGGGUCGCGUCCUAUCAGCUUGUUGGUGGGGUAACGGCCUACCAAGGCGUUGACGGGUAGCCGGCCUGAGAGGGCGACCGGCCACAUUGGGACUGAGAUACGGCCCAGACUCCUACGGGAGGCAGCAGUGGGGAAUAUUGCACAAUGGGCGCAAGCCUGAUGCAGCGACGCCGCGUGCGGGAUGGAGGCCUUCGGGUUGUAAACCGCUUUUGUUCAAGGGCAAGGCACGGUUUCGGCCGUGUCGAGUGGAUUGUUCGAAUAAGCACCGGCUAACUACGUGCCAGCAGCCGCGGUAAUACGUAGGGUGCAAGCGUUAUCCGGAUUUAUCGGGCGUAAAGGGCUCGUAGGCGG
Molecule: ribosomal RNA, 428 nt
Filed under: uncultured Bifidobacterium sp.
Lineage: Bacteria; Bacillati; Actinomycetota; Actinomycetes; Bifidobacteriales; Bifidobacteriaceae
Description: bacterial SSU rRNA
Rfam family: Bacterial small subunit ribosomal RNA
Source: RNAcentral